RNAcentral lists this RNase P RNA (312 nucleotides) under Aquimarina sp. BL5. Its description in RNAcentral is "RNase P RNA component class A". It matches the Rfam family "Bacterial RNase P class A". Rfam says of the family: Ribonuclease P (RNase P) is a ubiquitous endoribonuclease, found in archaea, bacteria and eukarya as well as chloroplasts and mitochondria. Its best characterised activity is the generation of mature 5'-ends of tRNAs by cleaving the 5'-leader elements of precursor-tRNAs. Lineage: Bacteria; Pseudomonadati; Bacteroidota; Flavobacteriia; Flavobacteriales; Flavobacteriaceae. The record is from RNAcentral.
CAAGCAGAUCACCUUAUCGCUGUUCGCGUUUGCGGAGAGAGGAAAGUCCGGACACCAUAGUGCAGCAUAGCGGGUAACGCCCGUCCGUCGCGAGAUGAGGACAAGUGCAGCAGAAAGUAUGUACAGGUUAAGCUGUAGUGAAACCAGGUAAACUCUAUGCGGUGCAACGCCAUGUAAACCAACGCUUAAGAGUUGCACGCUCAAUGUUGGAGGGUAGGCGGUUUGAUAUUGAUAGUAAUGUCAAUACUAGAUAAAUGAUAAGGAGUCCGCCAUAGGUGGAAUACAGAAUCCGGCUUAUGAUCUGCUUUUUUU